RNAcentral lists this ribosomal RNA (427 nucleotides) under Enterococcus casseliflavus. Its description in RNAcentral is "bacterial SSU rRNA". It matches the Rfam family "Bacterial small subunit ribosomal RNA", at positions 28 to 434 of the family's 1533-position model. Lineage: Bacteria; Bacillati; Bacillota; Bacilli; Lactobacillales; Enterococcaceae. The record is from RNAcentral.
GACGAACGCUGGCGGCGUGCCUAAUACAUGCAAGUCGAACGCUUUUCCUUUCACCGGAGCUUGCUCCACCGAAAGAAAAAGAGUGGCGAACGGGUGAGUAACACGUGGGUAACCUGCCCAUCAGAAGGGGAUAACACUUGGAAACAGGUGCUAAUACCGUAUAACACUAUUUUCCGCAUGAAAGAAAGUUGAAAGGCGCUUUUGCGUCACUGAUGGAUGGACCCGCGGUGCAUUAGCUAGUUGGUGAGGUAACGGCUCACCAAGGCAACGAUGCAUAGCCGACCUGAGAGGGUGAUCGGCCACACUGGGACUGAGACACGGCCCAGACUCCUACGGGAGGCAGCAGUAGGGAAUCUUCGGCAAUGGACGAAAGUCUGACCGAGCAACGCCGCGUGAGUGAAGAAGGUUUUCGGAUCGUAAAAACUCU